ACGGCUCAGUAACACGUAGUCAACAUGCCCAGGGGACGUGGAUAACCUCGGGAAACUGAGGAUAAACCGCGAUAAGUCAUUACUUCUGGAAUGGGUAAUGACUAAAAUCUACAUGGCCCCUGGAUUGGACUGCGGCCGAUCAGGCUGUUGGCGAGGUAAUGGCCCACCAAACCUGUAACCGGUACGGGCUCUGAGAGGAGGAGCCCGGAGAUGGGCACUGAGACAAGGGCCCAGGCCCUAUGGGGCGCAGCAGGCGCGAAACCUCUGCAAUAGGCGAAAGCCUGACAGGGUUACUCUGAGUGAUUUCCGUUAAGGAGAUCUUUUGGCACCUCUAAAAAUGGUGCAGAAUAAGGGGUGGGCAAGUCUGGUGUCAGCCGCCGCGGUAAUACCAGCACCCCGAGUGGUCGGGACGUUUAUUGGGCCUAAAGCAUCCGUAGCCGGUUCUACAAGUCUUCCGUUGAAUCCACCUGCUUAACAGAUGGGCUGCGGAAGAUACUAUAGAGCUAGGAGGCGGGAGAGGCAAGCGGUACUCGAUGGGUAGGGGUAAAAUCCGUUGAUCCAUUGAAGACCACCAGUGGCGAAGGCGGCUUGCCAGAACGCGCUCGACGGUGAGGGAUGAAAGCUGGGGGAGCAAACCGGAUUAGAUACCCGGGUAGUCCCAGCUGUAAACGAUGCAGACUCGGUGAUGAGUUGGCUUCUUGCCAACUCAGUGCCGCAGGGAAGCCGUUAAGUUUGCCGCCUGGGGAGUACGGUCGCAAGACUGAAACUUAAAGGAAUUGGCGGGGGAGCAC
Molecule: ribosomal RNA, 791 nt
Filed under: uncultured archaeon
Lineage: Archaea
Description: bacterial SSU rRNA
Rfam family: Archaeal small subunit ribosomal RNA
Source: RNAcentral